Molecule: small RNA, 27 nt
Filed under: Bombyx mori (domestic silkworm)
Lineage: Eukaryota; Metazoa; Arthropoda; Insecta; Lepidoptera; Bombycidae
Description: ovarian small RNA-33559
Source: RNAcentral
UGCAUCGGGCAUAGCGAGCCGGAAACC